CUUUCUUUAAGAGAAAAAUACCAUAAAACCGGAAAGUGACGUCACUGAUAGGCGUGUGUGGACAAAACCGGCUAAUCUUGGACGACACAUUACGCACAUGCAUAAGCCCCGUUUUCCCAGAGCAAGGCUCAAACAUUUAGCUGACUGAUUCUCGAACGAACGCAAUCUUACUCAUAUUUCAGGUCGAGUCUGUCGGGGGCGCCUAUCUGGCCCGUGCCGACGUCGGUAUCAGUGAGACGCAUGCGGAGAGGGUCGCCAUAACCGCUCGGAACUUAACCUCGCCCCUGUAUGGUGAAUCUAUCCAGAAAAGCGGGGGAAAAUCGAGUUGAGCGGCUAUUGAAUGUUGGAAACGUAUUUCCUGUUGAAAAACGAUAUUCUGUCGGAGGACGAUUUGCUCGAGCGUUCACACAACAACCCGGAAGUGAUGUAGGACGGAUGGCGGGGUUGGCAUAUGCGCGGAACAACCGAGUGUAUCACAUCGCUGAGAAUACUUCUUCAGGU
Long non-coding RNA from Dreissena polymorpha, 501 nucleotides. RefSeq lists it as uncharacterized. The record is from RefSeq and is a predicted model, not a curated record. The transcript is spliced from 3 exons. NCBI's taxonomy places the organism in Eukaryota, Metazoa, Mollusca, Bivalvia, Myida, Dreissenidae.